Molecule: transfer RNA, 72 nt
Filed under: Camelus bactrianus (Bactrian camel)
Lineage: Eukaryota; Metazoa; Chordata; Mammalia; Artiodactyla; Camelidae
Also listed under: 2 other names
Rfam family: tRNA
About the family: Transfer RNA (tRNA) molecules are approximately 80 nucleotides in length.
Source: Rfam by way of RNAcentral
ACAGGUAUAGCUCAGCAGAAGAGUGUACGCCUAGCAUGCACAAGGUCCUGGGUUCAAUCCCCAGUACCUCCA